RNAcentral lists this small RNA (40 nucleotides) under Anaerobutyricum hallii. Its description in RNAcentral is "CRISPR_Spacer". The record is from RNAcentral. Lineage: Bacteria; Bacillati; Bacillota; Clostridia; Lachnospirales; Lachnospiraceae.
UUCCAUAUGGAACUGUUUAUGUAGAUACUCCGUUUCCUAU